RNAcentral lists this ribosomal RNA (843 nucleotides) under uncultured Gammaproteobacteria bacterium. RNAcentral's name for it is "bacterial SSU rRNA". It matches the Rfam family "Bacterial small subunit ribosomal RNA", at positions 32 to 874 of the family's 1533-position model. The record is from RNAcentral. Lineage: Bacteria; Pseudomonadati; Pseudomonadota; Gammaproteobacteria.
GACGCUGGCGGCAGCCUCAUACAUGCAAGUCGAGCGAGAACGUUACUUCGGUAGCUAGUAAAGCGGCGGACGGGUGAGUAACGCGUAGGAAUCUACCUUUCAGCGGGGGAUAGCUCGGGGAAACCCGAAUUAAUACCGCAUACACCCUAAGGGGGAAAGAGGGCCUAUCCUUGGAAGCUCUCGCUGUUAGAUGAGCCUGCGUGAGAUUAGUUUGUUGGUGGGGUAAUGGCCUACCAAGACUACGAUCUCUAGCUGGUCUGAGAGGACGAUCAGCCACACUGGGACUGAGACACGGCCCAGACUCCUACGGGAGGCAGCAGUAGGGAAUAUUGGACAAUGGGGGCAACCCUGAUCCAGCUAUGCCGCGUGUGUGAAGAAGGCUCUAGGGUUGUAAAGCACUUUAGGUAAGGACGAAAAGAAUAUAGUUAAUACGUAUAUUCCGUGACUUAACUUACAGAAUAAGGACCGGCUAACUCCGUGCCAGCAGCCGCGGUAAUACGGAGGGUCCAAGCGUUAAUCGGAAUUACUGGGCGUAAAGCGCGCGUAGGCGGUUUGUCAAGUUGGAUGUGAAAUCCCUGGGCUCAACCUAGGAACUGCAUUCAAAACUUAUAGACUAGAGUACGAUAGAGGAGAGUAGAAUUCCUGGUGUAGCGGUGAAAUGCGUAGAUAUCAGGAGGAAUACCAAUGGCGAAGGCAACUCUCUGGAUCGACACUGACGCUGAGGUGCGAAAGCGUGGGUAGCAAACAGGAUUAGAUACCCUGGUAGUCCACGCCGUAAACGAUGAGAACUAGCCGUUGGAUCUUAGAUUCAGUGGUACAGCUAACGCAUUAAGUUCUCCGCCU